This 65-nucleotide transfer RNA is filed under the name Matsucoccus matsumurae. RNAcentral's name for it is "tRNA-Glu". Lineage: Eukaryota; Metazoa; Arthropoda; Insecta; Hemiptera; Margarodidae. The record is from RNAcentral.
AUUAAAUUAGUUUAAUAUAAAACAAUAUAUUUUCAAUAUAUAAUUUUUUUAAAAAAAAUUUAAUU